RNAcentral lists this ribosomal RNA (977 nucleotides) under uncultured eukaryote. RNAcentral describes it as "SSU rRNA". It matches the Rfam family "Eukaryotic small subunit ribosomal RNA", at positions 122 to 1119 of the family's 1831-position model. The record is from RNAcentral.
UGAUAUCGAAUUUACAUGGAUAACCGUGGUAAUUCUAGAGCUAAUACAUGCUGGUAGGCCCGACUUUUGCGGAAGGGCGGUAUUUAUUAGAUAACAAGCCAAUAUUCCUCUGGUCUAUUGUGGUGACUCAUAAUAACUGAUCGAAUCGCAAGGCCUUUGGCCGCGAUAAGUCAUUCAAGUUUCUGCCCCAUCAGCUUUCGAUGGUAGUGUAUUGGACUACCAUGGCGUUUACGGGUAACGGAGGAUUAGGGUUCGAUUCCGGAGAGGGAGCCUGAGAAACGGCUACCACAUUUAAGGAAGGCAGCAGGCGCGUAAGUUACCCAAUCCUGACUCAGGGAGGUAGUGACAAGAAAUAACGGACCGAGGCCUUCGGGCUUCGGGAUUGGAAUGAGCCGAAUUUACACCCCUUAGCGAAGAUCGAUUGGAGGGCAAGUCUGGUGCCAGCAGCCGCGGUAAUUCCAGCUCCAAUAGCGUAUAUUAAAGUUGUUGCAGUUAAAAAGCUCGUAGUUGGAUUUCUGGGAGGGUGCCGAUGUCCACUUAACGUGUGCGCAGCGGCGCCCUCUCAUCCUUCUGUUAGCGUCUCUUGGCAUUCAUUUGCUGGUGGCGGGCUCAGAUAUUUUACCUUGAGAAAAUUAGAGUGUUUCAGGCAGGCUAGGCCGGAAUACAUUAGCAUGGAAUAAUGGAAUAGGACUACGGUCUCUUUGUUGGUUUGAGGGACUGCAGUAAUGAUUAAUAGGGAUAGUUGGGGGGCAUUAGUACUUAACUGUCAGAGGUGGAAUUCUCAGAUUUGUUAAAGACUGACUUAUGCGAAAGCAUUUGCCAAGGAUGUUUUCAUUAAUCAAGAACGAAAGUUAGGGGAUCAAAGACGAUCAGAUACCGUCCUAGUCUUAACCAUAAACUAUGCCGACUCGGGAUUGGGGGCGUGUUCUAUCCGCCUUCAGCACCGUAUGAGAAAUCAAAGUCUUUGGGUUCUGGGG